This 375-nucleotide ribosomal RNA is filed under the name uncultured organism. Its description in RNAcentral is "partial 16S ribosomal RNA". It matches the Rfam family "Bacterial small subunit ribosomal RNA", at positions 527 to 896 of the family's 1533-position model. The record is from RNAcentral.
AGAGGUGGCAAGCGUUGUUCGGAAUUACUGGGCGUAAAGGGCGCGCAGGCGGUUUGCCAAGUCUCGUGUGAAAUCCCCCGGCUCAACUGGGGAACUGCGCGGGAUACUAGUGGACUUGAGUUCGGGAGAGGAAAGCGGAAUUCCGGGUGUAGCGGUGAAAUGCGCAGAUAUCCGGAGGAACACCAGUGGCGAAGGCGGCUUUCUGGACCGACACUGACGCUGAGGCGCGAAAGCUAGGGGAGCGAACGGGAUUAGAUACCCCGGUAGUCCUAGCCCUAAACGAUGAGCACUGGGUGUAGGGGGUAUGAACCCCCCCCCCCUGUGCCGAAGCUAACGCAUUAAGUGCUCCGCCUGGGGAGUACGGUCGCAAGGCUG